AAGGAUCAUUGUCGAAAACUGC
RNAcentral lists this ribosomal RNA (22 nucleotides) under Laportea cuspidata. RNAcentral's name for it is "partial 18S ribosomal RNA". Lineage: Eukaryota; Viridiplantae; Streptophyta; Magnoliopsida; Rosales; Urticaceae. The record is from RNAcentral.